GACGAACGCUGGCGGCGUGCCUAAUACAUGCAAGUAGAACGCUGAAGAGAGGAGCUUACUCUUCUUGGAUGAGUUGCGAACGGGUGAGUAACGCGUAGGUAACCUGCCUUGUAGCGGGGGAUAACUAUUGGAAACGAUAGCUAAUACCGCAUAAAAAUGGAUGACACAUGAUAUUUAUUUGAAAGGGGCAAUUGCUCCACUACAAGAUGGACCUGCGUUGUAUUAGCUAGUAGGUGAGGUAAUGGCUCACCUAGGCGACGAUACAUAGCCGACCUGAGAGGGUGAUCGGACACACUGGGACUGAGACACGGCCCAGACUCCUACGGGAGGCAGCAGUAGGGAAUCUUCGGCAAUGGGGGCAACCCUGACCGAGCAACGCCGCGUGAGUGAAGAAGGUUUUCGGAUCGUAAAGCUCUGUUGUAAGUCAAGAACGGGUGUGAGAGUGGAAAGUUCACACUGUGACGGUAGCUUACCAGAAAGGGACGGCUAACUACGUG
Molecule: ribosomal RNA, 497 nt
Filed under: uncultured bacterium
Lineage: Bacteria
Description: partial 16S ribosomal RNA
Rfam family: Bacterial small subunit ribosomal RNA
Source: RNAcentral